UUGUGUUAACAUUAUUUAAAUAAAAAAUACACAUUAUCUCGAAUACGUUUAGAAAUAACUGUUCUGCUGAUGUUUCUUUUAGGAUUAAGGAUGCUCAUUAAAGUGAAGUUCAACCAUGAACAAAAGUUUGUUAAAGUUUCUGGCGCCGACCUGAAACUCUCUGAUUUUCUGGAUGAAGCCUUUGUGAAAUUCUGAAUUCCCGCCUCCAAACGCGCAGAGACCAGGCUCUACGAUUCGUCUUACACAGAAGUUGAUGAGGAUGUUUUCGAGGAGGUUAUAAAGCAGCCAAAUUUAGGCGUUUUUAUUCUUCGAUUCGAAAACUCGUCACACGAUUUGGCCCAGGUCCCUUCUGUGACAAGUGAAGAAAGCUCAUUGCAGAAUGCAAACUAUGAAUCUGAUGACACCAGUAUUCUAAGUGAUGGAAGUCCUUCAAGAAAGCAACAGAGGGUUGAAGACGAAGCCAGAAUUCACAUCUCCACCCAGAAAUAUUAGGGAAAUGUAUGCCCAAGGAAUCGUUGCCCUGUUUCCAUAUCUUC
Molecule: long non-coding RNA, 536 nt
Organism: Carassius auratus (goldfish)
Lineage: Eukaryota; Metazoa; Chordata; Actinopteri; Cypriniformes; Cyprinidae
Exons: 4
Source: RefSeq, a predicted model, not a curated record